This 250-nucleotide ribosomal RNA is filed under the name uncultured bacterium. RNAcentral's name for it is "partial 16S ribosomal RNA". It matches the Rfam family "Bacterial small subunit ribosomal RNA", at positions 524 to 773 of the family's 1533-position model. The record is from RNAcentral.
UACGAAGGGUGCUAGCGUUGUUCGGAAUCACUGGGCGUAAAGCGCGCGUAGGCGGCUUGACAAGUCAGAGGUGAAAUCCCAAGGCUUAACCUUGGAACUGCCUUUGAAACUGUCAAGCUGGAGUGUCGGAGGGGAUGGCGGAAUUGCUAAUGUAGAGGUGAAAUUCGUAGAUAUUAGCAGGAACACCGGUGGCGAAGGCGGCCAUCUGGACGACAACUGACGCUGAGGCGCGAAAGCGUGGGGAUCAAAC